AAUUGUUCCUCGUUAAGGUAUUUACAUUGUACCCAUUCCAAUUACAAGUUCCUCAUCGGAACCUGUAUUGUUAUUUCUUGUCACUACCUCCCUGUGUCAGGAUUGGGUAAUUUUCGCGCCUGCUGCCUUCCUUAGAAGUGGUCGCCGUCUCUCAGGCGACCUCUCCAGAGCCACACCCUAAUGCCCUGUCAUCCGUUACGACCAUGGUAGUCCACUACACUACCAUCAAGUUGAUAGAUCAGGUAUUUGUAUGAACCGUCGCCAACGCUAGGUUGUGCGAUCCGAGAAGUUAUUAUGAUUCACCAAUGGCUAGUGGUUUCCCACUAGGCUGGUUUUGCGACUAAUAAAUACACCCCUUCCGUGAAGUCGGGGCUUGUUUGCAUGUAUUAGCUCUAGAAUUACCACAGUUAUCCAUGUGGUGGUACUAUCAAAUAAACUAUAACUGAUUUAAUGAGCCAUCCGCAGUCUUGCCUUGCUAGGGCUUAUACUUAGACAUGCAUGGCUUAGUCUUUAAGACAAGCAUAUGACUA
This 530-nucleotide ribosomal RNA is filed under the name uncultured eukaryote. RNAcentral's name for it is "partial 18S ribosomal RNA". The record is from RNAcentral.